CUGCUCCAGCUCACGCCAGGCAUCCAGGUGGUUCCGCAGGCUGGACAGGCGGAGUUGGCUCCGCUCUGCCGAGCCCAAGGUACUCCCGACGCCGUGGUUUGAGGCCCAGCGAGAUGUCACACUGGCUGCCAGUCCGGUCUCGUUCUGUGUGCGCGCUGAGGAUGUUUCCUGAUGUGUUCCAGAUGUGUUCCAGAUGUGUUCCAGAACGGGCCCCGCAGCUUUCGAGGACAGCGGAGGAAGGAGAGUGCAGAGUGCAAUGAGGUCACCCCUCAGCCUCCCUCCCUCCGAAGCAGACAAGUACAGAGUUCUCAGCUGCUCAUCACAGGAAUACAGGAGUCCCUGCUGUCCCCACAACAUGGCAUGGGAUCACCGUGGCUAUGCCCCAGGAAUCUGCAUGAACUGGCAGCAGGACAGCCCUGCUGAGCCCCAGGAGAGCGUGUGAGACCUGGGGGACUCCAACACUUCAUCAGCACCGUCCCUGGCAGCAGGACAAGGGCUCCAUGUGCUGGCACACGGGACAGCUUGUGCCCAUGGACUGUGGCAGCCUCAGGACAGAGGUCUGACGUCAGUGUCACACGGCUGCUGUUGAUGCUGAUUAUUUCCAUGCUAGCACCUUAUGGAAUAACAACUGAUUCUGCUGUUUCUACCCCAAUUCUGCUGCUCACGAACGCUGAGAUAAAAGCACUGCGUGCCUGCAGAGUUCAUUACCCAGCAGGGUCCCCAAGCUGGCAGGCACACACCCCACAGCCUGUGACACCUCUGCUCCGUGAAGAAAGCACAGCUGCUCCUCCAAGCACCUUCACCCUCCGAGAGCCCUGCAGGCAGCAAGAACUCCUCGGGCAUGGAACAGAGCAUGCAGGCAUACAAGCAGUAGCUGUCAGUACGAGGAGCUUCACUUCCCCGUGAUGCAGGGGGCACCCUGCAGCCUCACAAGCACGAGGAACAGAGCUGGCUGUGAGACUCGCACAGCUUUGUGUCUUGUUCAUGUGUGAUCUCUUGACCUUCUCCUCUCCCGGGGCUUCUGAGCUUUCAAAGUACAGUGAUGCUCAAGGUAGUCUGGGAUGACAGUGCCUUCUCUGAAUUGUCUAUGAGGUUUGUCCCCAUGGCACAGGCAUCACUCCUUUUCUGUAAAAAUAACCUUUUACAAGGCUGUGUCUUAUCUGGGGAGGAAAAGUGCACAUCCUACGUCUGAGGUGUGGGAGGGAGGAAAGCAGGUAAAUGAGUGUUCAGGGGAUAGCUCAAAACUGACAGGAAUCAGGCCAUUUUCAGAGGUCCAGCCCUCCAGCUAACCUUCCACCAGCAGCAUUUAACCAGCUCCUCUGCUGGAGGAAGGGGGAUGUUCUGAGCGAUGGUGUUCAUCUUCCCAAGUCACUGUCACAUGUGAUGGAGCCCUGGUCCCCCAGAGAAGGCUGAACACCCACCCACCCAUGGGAAGCAGAAUUCAUUCCUUGCUUUGCUUUUCUUGCGUGCACACCUUUUACUUUCCCAACUGAACUCAUUCCAAAGUUCUCUCCCUUUUACCCUUCCAGUUCUCUUCCCAAUCCUGCUGACAGGGCAGUGAGGGAGUGGCUGUGAGGGGUUUGGCUGCUGACUGGGGUUAAACCUCGACAGGCAAAGCCUCAGCCCUGCCUUUGACACUUCUUGCAGAGCAAGGUUACAGGAACCAAAUACCACAAGGUAAUUUAGGUGGGGAACUUGCAGCACACGAGAUAAUAUCAGGCUUUCACCUAGCAAGUGAUAAGAGCAGGCACAACAGGCAGUUCUUACAAAGCAGCUUACACUUCCUUAAUUACACACCAGCAUAUUUUGCAUCUCUUAACCUGCCCUAGUUUCUCCUGGUAAAGCACUCCUUGAACUGUUGGGGGGUGAGGGGUUUUAAUAUUUUUCUUAUUUGCUAUGUUGAGGUAAACACCAAAGUAUGAUUUAUGGGACCAAGACACAAAGUUGGUCACACCAAUAAAUAAAUGAAAUUCUUAUAUAGCAAUGAAACAAUUUUCAUUUCACCUCAGUAAUAACUGAUUUUAAAAAAAGUCCUUGCCUUCAGGUGCACCAUUGAUAUAGAAUCCUCUCAUCUGGUUUAAUUACUCAAAGAUACUGCAUAGUACUUUAGGACAGUAGUUAUGUAAGUGUGUGUGUAUGUGUGUAUAUUUAUAUUUCUAUAUACACACAUUUGUAUUUAUAUGGCUGAUCAUAUGUUCACCUUUGGAUUUAUUUAUUCUUACUUAGGGGCUUUUCCAAGCAAUGUGUUGACUGACAUACUAGUAACUCCAAUCUAAAAGUGCUCAUAACUUAUAAAUCAAUUGCUCUGAAAAUUAAUGAGUGUACUGAGCCUCUCACAGACCUGUGUUAAACUUUCAGUUUGAGCUAAACCUCAGCUC
Molecule: long non-coding RNA, 2378 nt
Organism: Passer montanus (Eurasian tree sparrow)
Lineage: Eukaryota; Metazoa; Chordata; Aves; Passeriformes; Passeridae
Exons: 3
Source: RefSeq, a predicted model, not a curated record